RNAcentral lists this ribosomal RNA (491 nucleotides) under uncultured bacterium. Its description in RNAcentral is "partial 16S ribosomal RNA". It matches the Rfam family "Bacterial small subunit ribosomal RNA", at positions 29 to 507 of the family's 1533-position model. The record is from RNAcentral.
UUGAACGCUGGCGGCAUGCUUUACCCCUGCAAGUCGAACGGUAACAGGCCUUCGGGUGCUGACGAGUGGCGACCGGGUGAGUAAUGCAUCGGAACGUACCCAGAGGUGGGGGAUAACGCAGCGAAAGCUGUGCUAAUACCGCAUGUGAUCUGAGGAUGAAAGCGGGGGACCGAGCAGCAAUGUUUGGCCUCGCGCCUUUGGAGCGGCCGAUGUCGGAUUAGCUAGUUGGUGGGGUAAAGGCCUACCAAGGCGACGAUCCGUAGCUGGUCUGAGAGGACGACAAGCCACACUGGGACUGAGACACGGCCCAGACUCCUACGGGAGGCAGCAGUGGGGAAUUUUGGACAAUGGGCGCAAGCCUGAUCCAGCAAUGCCGCGUGCGGGAAGAAGGCCUUCGGGUUGUAAACCGCUUUUGGCAGGAACGAAACGGUGUCCGCUAAUACCGGGCGCUAAUGACGGUACCUGCAGAAUAAGCACCGGCUAACUACGUG